AGCACGCUGCGCGCCGCCUGGCCAUUCCCCGUCACCCUUUUCCGUCGCCACGUCUCCGUUUCGAAAAGUGUUUCGUCCCCAAUCUCCUCCCCCUCUCUCGGACCCGUCGCGGCGCCGGCGAGCGAGAGAUCCCCGCCGAGAUUCCAGGCGCGACCCCCGCCGCGAUGGCGAGAAGGUGGCAGGUCUGGGGCCGGCCCGACGGCAGCCAAGUCUGGAUCCCCGCCCCCGACCCCGACGCGCCGCCGCCGCCGCCCGCCGCGGCCCCGCCUCUUCCUCCGCCGGGGCGCGCCGCGGGGACAGCCGCCGCUUCAUUUGAGGACGCGCAGGUCAAAGGCCGGGGCGCUGCUGACGGAUGCCGCGUCGAGUCCAUGGCCGACCUCCUCGUCCAAGCGCGGAACAAGCUGCUCGAAGGUGAUGGGAUGGCCGGAGCAACCGGGGAUGCAGGAAAAGGCGAGCUGUUCUGCACUGGAUCGGGGAGACCAGUGUCCCUCAGCGAGAGGGCUAUAAGGAAGGCCAGGGCGUUGGUCGGGGAGGAUGUGGAGAAGGCUGGUAUUAAGAGAAAGCAAUCAUUUGGCGAUGUACCUGAUGUAGAGGGCGGAUUGAGAGAAAUGGGCGCCCCAUUUAGAGGUGGAACCAUGCCCCCAUUGUUCCAAACUGGGUCAGGAAAAGCGGUCUUGCCGGGCAGGAACUCAAUCCAAAAGGCAAGAGCUAUUUUAGAAGAUGUUGAUAGUGCUGCUGGUGCCGCACAACCAAUGUUCCGUACUGGAAUGGGUAGGGCGGUUCCUGUGAACCGGACCCUUAUUGACAAGGCAAGAGCUGUUUUGGAGGGACAAACAGCUGUAGAACAAGGUCAUUAUGAUGAGAGUGUGGACGGCAUGGAACAGUUUCCAUUGUUCCAAACUGGUUCAGGAAGAGUUGUAUCAGUCAGUUCAGCAUCUGUUCAGAAAGCUAAGUCUGUGUUGAAGGAUAAUAAUACAAGCAAGGAAAAUACAGAGAGUUUUGGUAGGCCUGACCAUACAGAGAGUUUUGGUAGGCCUGACCAAACUGGUUCAAGAAGACCAGGCAUGAUCAGCGAAAGAUCCAUUGAGCGAUCUAUAGAUGCGGUGAAUGAGGGAGAUGCGGAAAAGAGUGGACAUUGGGAUACUGGUUGCCAGUUCCCAAUGUUCCAAACAGGAUUAGGGAAGCCUGUUGCUGUGAGCUGGAACUCAGUUCAGAAGGCAAGGGCAGUAUUGGAGGAAGAAAAAAUUAAAACAACUGGACAUGGAGAUAGCAGUGUUUGCGCCACAACUCUUCAAAGUGAAACGCCAAGGUCUGUUUUGAUGAGUAGCAGUUUGAUCAUGACUGAUAGAAGUGUUACACCGAAUGGAGAUAGUGCAGUGCAAGAGAAAAAUCACGAGGAUGGCAACCACUUGCCGUUGUUUCAAACCGGGUCAGGGAGGUCAAUUGCUAUAAGUAAGAGCUCAUUUAAGAGGGCAACUGCAGUUCUGGAGCCAAGGAAUAUUACAAAGGAAUUGGAAGAUGAAGCUCAUUUAGAUGCUGGCCAUGAUACUCCCAUGUUCAAAACUGGAUUAGGAAGGUCUAACUUAGCAAGUGAUGGCUGUAGAACUGAAUUGUGUAUCUUAGAAGCUGAAGAAGCAGUCAAAAGUGUAAACAAUUACAACAGAGAAGCCUUUGUUGAAGUGCCAGCGUUCCAAGCUGGGAUACAAACGUUUGUACCCCAAAACAGAAGUUCAAGUCAUAAGGCCAGUAUGCUUUUGGAGCAACGAAACUUCACGGAGAAAGGAUACAAAGACUCUGGAAGUCAACUGCCAAUGUUUCGAACCGGAUCUGGAAAGUCAGUCUUGAUUAGUGAAAGCUCAGUGCAGAAAGCAAAGGCUGUUCUGGAGGAAGAGGUCAAAAUAAACAGAGAUAAUCAUAAUCUCCUUAACAUGGACAAAAAUAUUCCUGUCUUUGCUUCACCUCUCAAGACAAGCUGUGCAAGAACAGUUAAUAUAUCUUCAGCUGGUGUAUCUCGAGCUGCUACUUUGUUGGGCUUGGAGGAGAAUACCCUUUCAACACAAUUUUUUGGACAUGUGGGCGAUAAGCUUGGCACGAAAAUAAAAUUUGAACGGAAAAAUCCAGAACAGAGGCUUGCAUCUGGUCCAACAGAAAACCAAGUGCGUAAGGAACCACACCGGCCAUUUGAACUUUCUAAUAACACAGUUUCUGAUUCUGGUGAACAUUCUAUCAGAUUCAGUACCGCGGGAGGCAGAUCAAUGGCUAUUUCUAGUGAUGCACUUCAACGUGCGAGAAGCCUUCUGGGUGAAUCAGAUCACGUGGUUUCAACAAAUAAUUUAGUAGGCCGCUCUUUGGCAUCUGCAUGUAAUGUUGAGAUGCCAAAUUCAACCGUCGCCCCAAAAGGUGGACCUGAUUUAUCAAAAAUAAGUAGGGUCAAUGGAAAAACCGAACUUACAACAUUUUCCCACCAGGCAAUGUCUGAUAGGAAGCACACUGGAUCCUUUGAAAAUGCUGUACCUGUUAUCCCGGCGACUAACAAACAACCCAAUAUGUUUCAUGUUGGGAGUCGUUCAAUCAGUGAAAUUCCAAAGAUCCCGAAGCCCUCUUCCAUGUGUUUAUCUGAAACUGACAAUGCAAAUGACACUAAAGAUAAGACCCAGCGACUCCAUAUGCCAGCUGGAGCGUUGGUUGACAUUAGUAACUUCACGGGCACACAUUCUGGAAAUAUUGACCAUGCUGUUAAUGAGAAGAGAAGAAUUGAGGGAAGAAACACUGCAUCUUCCUUUAAACGCCCCCGCUCUUCCAGAUAGAUCCUUUGAUUUGCAUCCCUGUUAGCAGGCUGUAAACUCCUUGAUGCCAUGCUUUUGCUAUGCCCUUGCUGUCAAUGUGAGUUUGACACUGCAUGUGUUGUUUUGCAUGCUGGCGACGUUCAUUUAUGCAGCAGCAAGGCAGUGGAUCUUUUUUUUCAGACGGAUCUAAAAGGAAGAUGAUUGUCUUCUAGCAGUAAGCUUUUCUUGCCCAACUGCCGGCGAUGACUGCUUUUUAACCGUUACGCCCUUUCUGGAAAUAGAGAAGGUUAUCUCUCUCUUAAGGAAGCUUACCAUGGAAUAAUGGGUGCUGCUGUUUCUGGAAGCAAUGUAAGAAAAUGUUGGAAGUUCUGCAGAGUUUACUGUCCUCACUGGAUGCUCACUGGUAGUUGUUGAAAUAUGUAUUGUAUAGGGUGUUAUAGCAUGCGCUUGAGUUCGUAUCCUGAUCCGGUUAAGUUAGGCUUGAUCUCCUCUGUACAGGCUGUAGUAAACGUCGAGAUCAAAGCCCAUAACGACUGGUUCGUAACUUCUGUAAUCUCCUGGCCUUGAACCUUUUUAUAACGUGCAUGCAUCCUUGCUGAUAGCAUACACUUCCACCUAGUUUUACAUGGUAAUCAGAGCCCUUUCUCUUCAA
Molecule: non-coding RNA, 3438 nt
Organism: Triticum urartu
Lineage: Eukaryota; Viridiplantae; Streptophyta; Magnoliopsida; Poales; Poaceae
Source: RefSeq, a predicted model, not a curated record